CCGGUGGAGUAACCUUUUAGGAGCUAGCCGUCGAAGAUGGGACAAAUGAUUGGGGUGAAGUCGUAACAAGGUAGCCGUAUCGGAAGGUGCGGCUGGAUCACCUCCUUU
RNAcentral lists this ribosomal RNA (108 nucleotides) under Staphylococcus aureus. RNAcentral's name for it is "partial 16S ribosomal RNA". It matches the Rfam family "Bacterial small subunit ribosomal RNA", at positions 1427 to 1533 of the family's 1533-position model. The record is from RNAcentral. Lineage: Bacteria; Bacillati; Bacillota; Bacilli; Caryophanales; Staphylococcaceae.